This 564-nucleotide ribosomal RNA is filed under the name uncultured crenarchaeote. Its description in RNAcentral is "bacterial SSU rRNA". It matches the Rfam family "Archaeal small subunit ribosomal RNA", at positions 908 to 1472 of the family's 1478-position model. The record is from RNAcentral. Lineage: Archaea; Thermoproteati; Thermoproteota.
GGAGUCACGCCAGAAAUCUUACCCGGAGAGACAGCAGAAUGAAGGUCAAGCUGAAGACUUUACCAGACAAGCUGAGAGGUGGUGCAUGGCCGUCGCCAGCUCGUGCCGUGAGAUGUCCUGUUAAGUCAGGUAACGGGCGAGAUCCCUGCCUCUAGUUGCCACCAUUACUCUCAGGAGUAGUGGGGCGAAUUAGCGGGACCGCCGCAGUUAAUGCGGAGGAAGGAAGGGGCCACGGCAGGUCAGUAUGCCCCGAAACUCUGGGGCCACACGCGGGCUGCAAUGGUAGCGACAAUUGGUUUCGAAUCCGAAAGGAUGAGGUAAUCCACAAACGCUACCACAGUUAUGACUGAGGGCUGCAACUCGCCCUCACGAAUAUGGAAUCCCUAGUAACUGCGUGUCAUUAUCGCGCGGUGAAUACGUCCCUGCUCCUUGCACACACCGCCCGUCGUUUCAUUGAAGUGAGCUUUUAGCGAGGUGACGUCUGAUUGGCGUUAUCGAACUUGAGGUUCGUGACAAGGGAAAAGUCGUAACAAGGUGACCGUAGGGGAACCUGCGGUCGGAUCA